Molecule: ribosomal RNA, 889 nt
Filed under: uncultured bacterium
Lineage: Bacteria
Description: bacterial SSU rRNA
Rfam family: Bacterial small subunit ribosomal RNA
Source: RNAcentral
AUAGACGCUGGCGGCAUGCUUAACACAUGCAAGUCGAACGGAAACGCGAAAAGCUUGCUCUUUGGCGUCGAGUGGCGGCGGGUGAGUAACGCGUGGGAAUCUACCCAGUAGUGGAGGACAGCCAGGUGAAAACCUGAUUAAUACUGCAUACGAUCUACGGAUGAAAGGUGGCCUCUCCUUGGAAGCUAUCGCUAUUGGAUGAGCCCGCGUAAGAUUAGCUAGUUGGUGGGGUAAUGGCCUACCAAGGCAACGAUCUUUAGCUGGUCUGAGAGGACGACCAGCCACAUCGGGACUGAGACACGGCCCGGACUCCUACGGGAGGCAGCAGUGGGGAAUAUUGGACAAUGGGCGCAAGCCUGAUCCAGCAAUGCCGCGUGUGUGAAGAAGGCCUUAGGGUUGUAAAGCACUUUCAAUUGUGAAGAAGGGUGUAAGUUUAAUACACUUGUAUCUUGACGUUAACUUUAGAAGAAGCACCGGCUAACUCUGUGCCAGCAGCCGCGGUAAUACAGAGGGUGCAAGCGUUAAUCGGAAUUACUGGGCGUAAAGCGCGCGUAGGCGGUUAGAUAAGUAAGAUGUGAAAUCCCCGGGCUCAACCUGGGAACUGCAUCUUAAACUGUUUAACUAGAGUUUAGGAGAGGGAAGUAGAAUUUCAGGUGUAGCGGUGAAAUGCAUAGAGAUCUGAAGGAAUACCAGUGGCGAAGGCGACUUCCUGGCCUAGAACUGACGCGAGGUGCGAAAGCGUGGGUAGCAAACGGGAGUUAGAUACCCCGUAGUCCCGCCGUAAACGAUGUCAACUAGUCGUUGGACCCCUUGAGGGUUUAGUGACGCAGCUAACGCAUUAUUGACCGCCUGGGGAGUACGUCGCAAGACUAAAACUCAAAGAAUGACG